RNAcentral lists this ribosomal RNA (253 nucleotides) under uncultured bacterium. RNAcentral describes it as "partial 16S ribosomal RNA". It matches the Rfam family "Bacterial small subunit ribosomal RNA", at positions 524 to 776 of the family's 1533-position model. The record is from RNAcentral.
UACGUAGGGUGCAAGCGUUGUCCGGAAUUAUUGGGCGUAAAGAGCUCGUAGGCGGUCUGUCGCGUCGGAUGUGAAAACCCGGGGCUUAACCCCGGGCCUGCAUUCGAUACGGGCAGACUCGAGUGUGGUAGGGGAGACUGGAACUCCUGGUGUAGCGGUGAAAUGCGCAGAUAUCAGGAAGAACACCGGUGGCGAAGGCGGGUCUCUGGGCCGGUACUGACGCUGAGACGCGAAAGCGUGGGGAGCGAACAGG